UUUCUUAAAGAUAAUGCCAGAAACUGCAAGACGUUAGCUGUAUUGUCAUAUAAGUUUCAAGGUGUAGGUUUUUAAUUUUCUCUUAUGAAACACAGAAGCUGUGGCGAAAGCUGCCAUUAAAAUUCAUUACAAGAAAAGUAAACUUACAUUAAAAUCUAUUCCAUUCUUCUCUGAAUUCUUGGACCUAUUAGUAAGAACUGUCUACUUCUCUGACAAACCUUACCCUAUGCAGUGUGAUUUAAUCUAGGAGAUGCUUUGCUAAAUUGCAGUUUUUCAUGCAUCACAUCCUUGAAUCCCAGUUUCGAAAAAGAGAAAGAGAGAAACAACACUGCUCUAAACAGUAGCUUAGAUUUUAAAAACAACAAGCUAAAGUUGUAAGAGACCGCCUCAACUACUGUUCUUUGGCAAGUACAAAAAAAUACAUACAUAUAAAACAGGUUUGAAAAGAUGGCUUGAAUUAGAUGGGAGAGGACUCUCUGAUCUCUUUGUAUAUAUUCACCCCUUUUUGUACCAAAUCCAGGUUGCUUCUCCAAGCUGUUUUCAACCAUCUCCUCUGAGAGACAGUGCACUCAGUUGAGUGGUGAUAUGAACAGGGCUGAAAGAUGCAAGCUGAGGAAAUUGGUGAAAUGAUGCAGAUUGUACUGACCUGGCUUCAGUAAGUAGCAUCCUGGGUGCUUUGCUCCAUGGUGCUGAGCGCUGCACCAACAGAAAGACAAUCUGCUCAAGAUCUAAAUUAUUUUCAUGUGCAGCCAGGAAAAGAAAGGAGCGGGAGAAGUGUGAUCCUACAGCACAGGGAGUUCGGCUGUUGACUUCAAUGGGUUCACGAUAAGACCCUUUUGAGCUACAAGAACUCAGGCAUAGAUGUACCUCAGCACUAAGUUGGAGUCCAGUUCUCCUUUUUUGGUGCAACAGAGACAGGAAGAAGGGAUACAUAAAGGCCAGGAAUCAAGAACAGGGAAUUCUGGGAUUGCUGACUGAUGCAAGACUUUUUUAGGUUGACCCCUGCAGUACCUGUGUGAGUUCUGUGCACUUGUGAUAGAGGGGCUGGCUGGCUGGAAGGUAAGUGGGUCUCACUUUCACCCUCAAGUAUAGCAGCAUGUCCAGUUCAAACUGAACUGCCAUUGGAGGUGAAGGAUAGGGUUUUAGAGUGUAUAUGUGGUUGGUGAGUAUGGGCUGGAGAAUUCCCCAGCUAUCAGGGUUUGCAUAGCCCAAAGCUCUGCUUUUGCUGUAUUUGUCUUGCAUUACAUGAUUACUCCUUAAAAAAAAAAAAAAAGGCAGGGGAAGGGUUUGCAGGGCCAGAUAUGGGAUUGUUUGUAUGGACUUUUUAAAUUUACCUACAUACUUCAUUUUUAUGCUCAGGUUUGGUCUCUGCUUAUUUCUGUUUAUGUUAGCAAUGAACUGAUGUUUUACUACGAUCAUGUUUUUAGAGAGCUGAAAUUCUAUUUUGCUGCCAAAGCAUGAUAGCUAUUAAAUGAUUCUAAUAUUCUCUGAUUUUAUUGCCAGUACAUGACUUUUAAGACAGCCAAUUUACUUUAAAAACACUUCCUUUGUUCUCUGGCCAUUCGUGAAUAGUUGCCGUUUGAAAAGAAAGAGGAUUUUGAGCCCAUGUAUACAAAACCAAGGUCUGCCUGAGCUUCCUUCCCCUGCUCUGUCUUUACCUCACAUGGGUGUGGGGUGGAUUUGAGGUAUCUAUACCUCAAUGGGCAUGUCUACAUGUUCAUUAAUGCACCAUCAGGGCUGUCCCUAGUGGGGGGUGAAUCAGGGCACCCGCCCCAGGCCCUGUGCUUUGCAGGGCCCUGCAGAGCUGAGUGGAGCGGCUGCAGUGACUCUGCUCCUCCACUGCCGGCUUUGCAUCCAGCUGCUCACUACUCUCCCCACCUCCAACACCGACACCACUGCUGCCAAUGGUGGCAGCAGCUCCUUUGGGUCCAGGGCACACGGGGCCCUGCAUGGGCUGAUUUGCCCUGGGACCCGCACUGUGCCCAGGUUGGCUCUGGCACCAUAAUUACUGCGCAUUAAGUUUAGUACCUGUAUUACCAGGUACUAAAUCAAUGGCCAGUAACCAAUGGCUUUUGGUGUGAUGUGCUAAUGCACUGCAGAAUUAGUUUACUGCGCAUUUAGCAUCUCAUGUAGAUGCAUCCAGCAUCACCCUCCUCAGUCAACUUGCUGCUGAGACUCCUGCCGUCAGGUCACAGUGUAGUGUGGUGUUGCUGCUAAAUCUGGCCUGGAGCGUGCCACAGCAGUGACAGGUAGAGAUGGCCUGAUUCUCUAAUGGCUUGUCUUGCCUCCCCACAGGCCUUCUGCAACUCCUCCUUUGUCUGGCGUUGCUUCAUGUCCCUGUUGUAACCUAGCAUUUGCAUCUCCUUUGCAAAAAACAUCCUAAUUCUGCAGUCACCCCAUAGCUGGCUUGCGCUACCCCUUAUUUCCAAAAGCUGAGGAGAUCCAGGACUUCUUUCCUGAUCCAGAAAGCAACCAGAGAUUUAGCUUGAGCUCUGACUUUAUACAGACUGGUCCUAUCUUUUUUGCAGAAAUGUCUUAGCAGGAAAAAAUACUUUUCCAAAACAUGCUGGUGAAUUAUAAAGGGGCGGGUUAGUUUGGUUUCAAAUUAAUCUGACCCCUGAGCAGUGGAAUUCAAAACAGUGACUAGUGGUACCUGUUGUGGGGACUGGAGUAUUGUGGUGUUUUUGCCAAUGGACUAUUUUAUGGGUACGGUAGUGUUCACACAGAAGUCUGCAUGGCCAGCAUAAGUCUUUGAACAGAAUUUAAGUCAUUCAGACAAGUGGCUCUGUCAUGGUGACAGAAAGUCUGGGUUUUGCUGCCAAUGUGGGUGUGGUUGUAUGUAAAUUGGAGCCAACAAAAAAACAACUUUUGCCAGCAAAACUUUGUAGUGUGGAUAAGGUCAUACAAAUUUUCCUGAAGUGAUCACUGGGGAAACCUCUGUGAUGGCCAAAACCAGAGGGAUUAAUAAGCAAUAAAUAUGUGCUUCUUAGAGGCAUUUGGUAUUUUGCCUAAACAGGUAAUAUUAGUUAAUAUAAAGCUUGUAAGUUUGUAAACCACAAAUAUAACUUGCCUGUCAUAAGUUUAACCAAAAUAAUAAAAUUAACUGUUCGUGGAACUGACUGGGCCCCAUAGGCAAAGCUGUAGAUGCAAGAUUAGCUAACCUAAUGGUUUCUGCUCAGGGUUCAGCUUUAACAAUAAAAAACUGGAUCCAACUGCCUGGCACACCCAACACAUUCCAGGAAAGCACAUUCAAAUGAAACCUAAAAGGGGUUGGGGCUUAGGCGGAGCAAUGUCAAUUUCAAACCUAAAGGUGCUGCAUUAUAAUUUGCUUAUUGGAUAAACCCGAGUCUAGGUAGUAACCUUUUAUGAUAAUUUUUAACACCUUUCAAUCCCAUAGGGUAACAGCUAUAGGGCAACAUUGUGACUCUAAAACCAACAGAUUAGCAUAAGACUAGGUAUAAAAAGCACGUGCGUCAGGUGACCAGCAGGAAGGAGGGAACAGAAUGGUCAUUUCUGUUCCACACAUGGACCCUGGACUCCCGGUGUGAGUGAGGAUUGGAUCCUGACCAAGGGAUCUUCCCCGGCAAUCCCUCUGACAGCGUCGAUCAGAGGCGCCUGACUUCGCUGGAAUCAGUUGACACGUGCCUGGCAUUGAGGGACUAUCGAUAAGUUGCCAACCCAUGUCUGUCUAUCUGUUGUUUUGAACAGCCCAGUGGAUAAUACCCUCGCAAUGCCCAGUUGGCCUGCGACAGAAUUGAUCUAUCUACCUGUUGUUAUUAUCUGUUAUUUACUAUUAGCUCUUUAAUACUGCAUUAUCUGCUUAUCGCAUUUAUCUUUCUGUUAACUGUUGUGUGUGUGUAAGCUAUAAUAAAUUUGCCUUUACUUCACUCCUAA
Molecule: long non-coding RNA, 3894 nt
Organism: Alligator mississippiensis (American alligator)
Lineage: Eukaryota; Metazoa; Chordata; Crocodylia; Alligatoridae
Exons: 3
Source: RefSeq, a predicted model, not a curated record